CUUAAAAAAAUCUUUAAAACGUUAUUGUAAAUAUACCCUUUUAUUCUCUAAGAUAGAAAUUAGAAAAAGAUGGUAAUUUACAUUAUUUAUUUUGUAUUUUUAAUGUCAAAACCAAGAAAUAGCUCUUGGUUUGGACUUACUCUGCAACAGAGCUAGUUUCUCCUAUGUAAAGAGAUCUUCAAGUGAGUUUUGUUGAUUGUGUUGUCUGGGGAAGGAUAAGCUAAUUCUGAACUCAUUCAGAUGAAGGUUGUUUUCAUGUCUUAACCCAUUUCUUCGGUUGCUUUGCUGUCCCAUAUGCACGUCCCAUAUGUCCCUCAGAAAUGUCACUUCUUCUAAACUUUGUAGUCUGCCUUGUGAAUCCUUGGCUAGGUUCCUUUUGGUUCCAUGAAAGGUCUGACAUGUCUUGGCUUCUUUCUCUGUCCCUCUUUGCAUGUCAAUGUGUCUUUUCUCACAGUUGUGAUUCAGAGGACUCUUAGAUUGGAGCCGGGAUUCUCUUAGGGCUCUUUAAGUCACAUUGAAGUUGAGUUUUCAGGUUCCCUUUUUUUGUUUGUUUGUUUUGAGUUUUUCCCUUCUAUUUUUCCCUCUUAUUUCUAUUGUACUUCGCCUCCUUGAGCUUAUUCCUGAGUGAAUAUGGCUUGACUACUGUUGCCUCUGCAGCCAGACCUGGGGGUUUUAGUUUGCUCAUGAAAAAGUGCAGGCAGGUAUGGAGAAUUGCUUUCUCAGGCGGGCUCACACCAUUGUGUACCAUUUCUGCAUAUAUCAUAUAUGCUGAAUCUUGUCCUAUACUGGACACCUUGGCUUGCAUGCUUUAUACUAUUAGUUUUCUUAUGUUUAAAAAUUACCAUGAAAUUUCUAUCUUUGUUUCUAUGGUAGACGUCCAAUUGAUGCUGUGAUUUUAGAUUUUUAUACCAUGGUAGCAGGCAAUGAUUUUGAGAGAUGUGAGGCUGACUUUACGUGGACGUGGGAUACAGGGAGCUCAGAAGGUAGACUUAGUGCAUAUAUCAAAAAGCUUGGUUAAAUUCUUCUCCAUUUCAAAAUAAACUUUCCAGUAUGUGGACACUGUAAAAGCCAUAGGCUUAUAGGUCACAAUGAUAUAUAUUUUUCAUAUAUUUUGAAACAAAAAUUGGCAGGUGAAGAUUCUGGAUUUAAAAGGGACCAUCAUAUUUGAAAAGUCCUGGAACCUCAGAGGACCCCUGUGAUAAAAAUAAUACUGUGGCAUGAGAUAUCUCGAGUCUUAAUCUAACAUGCUCAGUAGUUUGGAAAUCUAGCCCAGUCUACUCUGUAGUGGUCAUAGGUUCUGACAGGAUCUUUGGGUCCAUGUACGGUUUGGAGGGUCCAACAUUUCAGUGCUUUUUGAGUUUCUCAUUUCUAUAAAAAGUUAUCUUACAAGGGAGUCAGUCUUCAUGUUGGGGCUUUCCCAGGGAAACUGUCAUCACUGGUAACAAACUGUAACUUUAAAAAGGCAUGUUGUUGCUGUUAUUGUUUUGCCUUCUUUUUUUAAUAUAAGUGUGCUUGGGAACUCCUUACAUUUUAUGCAAUAAACUAUUUUUGGUAAA
This 1556-nucleotide long non-coding RNA is filed under the name Rattus norvegicus (Norway rat). RNAcentral's name for it is "long non-coding RNA NONRATT008112". The record is from RNAcentral. Lineage: Eukaryota; Metazoa; Chordata; Mammalia; Rodentia; Muridae.